GGGCGGUUAGCUCAGCUGGGAGAGCACCUCCCUUACAAGGAGGAGGCCGGCAGUUCGAACCUGCCACCGCCCACCA
RNAcentral lists this transfer RNA (76 nucleotides) under Acidobacteriota bacterium. Its description in RNAcentral is "tRNA-Val". It matches the Rfam family "tRNA". From Rfam's summary of the family: Transfer RNA (tRNA) molecules are approximately 80 nucleotides in length. Their secondary structure includes four short double-helical elements and three loops (D, anti-codon, and T loops). The record is from RNAcentral. Lineage: Bacteria; Pseudomonadati; Acidobacteriota. RNAcentral also lists the same sequence under 1 other name.